Molecule: transfer RNA, 73 nt
Filed under: Diaphorina citri (Asian citrus psyllid)
Lineage: Eukaryota; Metazoa; Arthropoda; Insecta; Hemiptera; Psyllidae
Rfam family: tRNA
About the family: Transfer RNA (tRNA) molecules are approximately 80 nucleotides in length.
Source: Rfam by way of RNAcentral
AGUUAUGUAGCUUGGUUGGUAGUGCGUCUGCCUUGUAAGCGUUAGGCCGCGGGUUCGAUUCCCGCCCUGGCGG